This 293-nucleotide ribosomal RNA is filed under the name uncultured bacterium. Its description in RNAcentral is "partial 16S ribosomal RNA". It matches the Rfam family "Bacterial small subunit ribosomal RNA", at positions 102 to 386 of the family's 1533-position model. The record is from RNAcentral.
AAGGGUGAGUAAUAUGUAAGCAAUUUACCUAUGGGCUUGGAAUAACGUCGAGAAAUNANGCGCUAAUACCAAAUAAUGCCGCGGCACCACAUGGUGAUGUUGUUAAAGUUGCANCAAUGUAACUCCUAUAGAUAAGCUUGCAUCUGAUUAGCUAGUUGGUAGGGUAAUAGCCUACCAAGGCAACGAUCAGUAGCUGGUCUGAGAGGAUGAUCAGCCACACUGGAACUGAGACACGGUCCAGACUCCUACGGGAGGCAGCAGUGAGGAAUAUUGGGCAAUGGACGAAAGUCUGA